UAACAUCUUGCUUAAAACAAAGAAACAAUUAGUCCUGAAACAGAAAAGCACACGACACAGGAUAGGCUGUAUACCAUAGUGAUAGUAACAGCAACAGCAUAUACUUAUUAAACACUUAACAUGUGCUAGGCAUUCUUGGCACAUAGGGACUUAUUUGAUCUUCACAAAAACACUAUGAACUCGGUUUCUAUUACUCUCUCCAUUUUCACAGAGGAGGAACUGAGGCUCAAAGAGGUUAAGUAACUCGCUCCAAGUCCCACGGCUGAUGUGUAGGGAAGCAAACACAAACUCAUGUGGCCUGCCUCCCUCUCCGUGCUGCUAGGUCAUAAAAGGGGACAGGUUAUGGGAUGGAUCCCAGCUCCAUGACUAUCUGACAGUAAGAUUCUGGGGGAAGUUAUUUCAUCCUUCUGUAUCUUACUUUCUCAGUUACUGGGAUUGAAUAAGAAACUGUAUGUCAGAGAUUUCACCAGGGAACUGGCACAAGGUGCCCCAAAGUCAAGAUGUGCAAGUGUGAGCUCAUCUUCCUCAUCUCCUGACCUGGAACUGUUUUUUUGUGUGUGUUCUCUGUAUUAAUGAAAUGACACCACCAUCUGCCCAGGUGUCAAGGCAGGAUACAAGUCAUCCUAGACCUGGCUGCAACAUCUUAUGCCUGGUGACUGCCAGAGUGGGUCAUCUGGCUGGCUAAGCCCACAUCUUCUGCCUCCUGGACUACUGCCAAUGGUGAGGACCUUUGCAGAUACAACAAAACCAUCCAUACUUUUUCCAGGAGGACAUAGUUGUGGUGAGUUGGCCAGAAAGAAAAGGAGAUGACUCCUCUGUAAAUUUGAAGGAAAAAUGGAAUUAAAUACCCUCCUUCACUUUUA
Molecule: long non-coding RNA, 863 nt
Organism: Microcebus murinus (gray mouse lemur)
Lineage: Eukaryota; Metazoa; Chordata; Mammalia; Primates; Cheirogaleidae
Source: RefSeq, a predicted model, not a curated record